This is a non-coding RNA of Cordylochernes scorpioides, 83 nucleotides long. Lineage: Eukaryota; Metazoa; Arthropoda; Arachnida; Pseudoscorpiones; Chernetidae. The record is from the annotation of a GenBank genome assembly.
GGUAGCUUGGCCGAGCAGUCUUAAGACGCAGGUCUAAGGCACCAAUCUCCUCGGAGACGUGGGUUCAAAUCCCACCACUGCCA